RNAcentral lists this transfer RNA (76 nucleotides) under Agrobacterium radiobacter. RNAcentral describes it as "tRNA-OTHER". The record is from RNAcentral. Lineage: Bacteria; Pseudomonadati; Pseudomonadota; Alphaproteobacteria; Hyphomicrobiales; Rhizobiaceae.
AGUGCAACGUGGUAACGCACUCGAAAUGCGGCAUACUUCAAGGGUAUCGUGGGUUCGAAUCCCACCCUCUCCGCCA